Molecule: ribosomal RNA, 489 nt
Filed under: uncultured bacterium
Lineage: Bacteria
Description: bacterial SSU rRNA
Rfam family: Bacterial small subunit ribosomal RNA
Source: RNAcentral
UGGUGGCGUGCCUAAUACAUGACAAGUCGUACGAGAAAGUCCUUCGGGAUGAGUACAGUGGCGCACGGGUGAGUAACACGUGGGUGACCUACCCUUUAGUUGGGGAUAACUGAAAGAAAUUUCAGCUAAUACCGGAUAAGCUGAUUGAAUUGAAAUAAGAUCAGGAAAGAUUGGGAUCUUCGGACCAAUUGCUGAAGGAAGGGCCUGCGUAUCAUUAGCUAGUUGGUGGGGUAAUGGCCUACCAAGGCAACGAUGAUUAACUGGUCUGAGAGGAUGAUCAGUCACACUGGAACUGAGACACGGUCCAGACUCCUACGGGAGGCAGCAGUAGGGAAUAUUGCGCAAUGGGGGCAACCCUGACGCAGCAACGCCACGUGAGUGAGGAAGGUCUUCGGAUUGUAAAGCUCUGUCGGUAGGGAAAAAUGAUAUGUAUUCGAAUAGGAUAUAUGUUUGAUGGUACCUAAAGAGGAAGCACCGGCUAACUUCGUG